RNAcentral lists this ribosomal RNA (484 nucleotides) under uncultured bacterium. Its description in RNAcentral is "bacterial SSU rRNA". It matches the Rfam family "Bacterial small subunit ribosomal RNA", at positions 29 to 507 of the family's 1533-position model. The record is from RNAcentral.
AUGAACGCUAGCGGCAGGCUUAAUACAUGCAAGUCGUACGGGAUCCGAGGUAGCAAUACUUUGGUGAGAGUGGCGCACGGGUGCGUAACACGUAUGCAACCUACCUAUAACCGGGACACAACCUCGAGAAAUUGAGGCUAAUAUCCCAUAACACUGCGAGAUGGCAUCAUUUUGCAGUUAAAACUCCGGUGGUUAUAGAUGGGCAUGCGCGACAUUAGCUAGUUGGUGAGGUAACGGCUCACCAAGGCUACGAUGUCUAGGGGUUCUGAGAGGAUUAUCCCCCACACUGGUACUGAGACACGGACCAGACUCCUACGGGAGGCAGCAGUAAGGAAUAUUGGUCAAUGGGCGCAAGCCUGAACCAGCCAUGCCGCGUGAAGGAUGACGGCCCUAUGGGUUGUAAACUUCUUUUGUACGGGAAAAAACCUCUGGUCGUGAAUCAGAGCUGAUGGUACCGUAAGAAUAAGCAUCGGCUAACUCCGUG